CCAGCUGGCAGCUCUUUUCAUGUCCUCAUUAAGCUGCCCACCAAAGUGGUACCCAUCUAUCUACUCACAGUCACCUGCUUUUGAACUUCUGGGUCAGCAAGAGUUGGAGUGAGUGAUGGGAGUUCAUCCCAUCCCAUGGUAGCAACUGGAUAGCAACUUGAGCCUCUCAAUCAUCAGCCUAGUGUCCUAACCACUUGAGCCACUGCAUUCCUCUCCUAUCAUGCUUAGUAGUAUUUAUAACCUUAUUAUCACAGUUCCUCUCAAUUUUGCAUUGGAUUGCAGACUGUAUCUAGAACAUCUAUUCUAUACACCACAUUGAUAAACUGGAGGGUGCCCAAGAGACAGCCAUCAAGGUGAUAAAGGUCUGGAAAAAGUGUGUAUGAGGAAUGGUUGGAGAUAAUGGAUCUGUUUAGCCUAGGCUGACAUAUAGAAGAUGGAGCAGAACUGAACAACUGAGGACAAAAUGAGGCUUAAAUUGCAUAGAUUUUGGCUGGACAUCAGGGAAAAAAUCAUCUUAAUGAGGCAGGAAUGUUUCUUGAUCCCAAGAGAAUAUUGAAAGGAAAAGAAAAACUUGAGGUCAAUAUUUAAGAAUAAUUUCUUUAAGUGCUCUGAAGGGUCCAUCAGUUUUUACAAAGCAGCUUCUCAGGAGGUACAAGGAAAAAAGGAGAAAUGAUGCAAAUCACCUUCUUUCCAAUGGGAUUACCCUGUGAAUAGAAUUCUGGGUGCAACCCAUUGGAAUGUACACAGGUCCAAACAACAGGAUACUGUAUGCAAGGAAAA
Molecule: long non-coding RNA, 780 nt
Organism: Crotalus tigris (Tiger rattlesnake)
Lineage: Eukaryota; Metazoa; Chordata; Lepidosauria; Squamata; Viperidae
Exons: 3
Source: RefSeq, a predicted model, not a curated record